Long non-coding RNA from Suricata suricatta (meerkat), 1200 nucleotides. RefSeq lists it as uncharacterized. The record is from RefSeq and is a predicted model, not a curated record. Lineage: Eukaryota; Metazoa; Chordata; Mammalia; Carnivora; Herpestidae. The transcript has 3 exons.
CCCCCCCCCCCCCCCGGGAGAGCUCAGGGGGCAGGGGCCUCCAGGGAGCACAUGGCUGACUUCACCAUGGUGUGCCAGGCUCUCGCUGCUGGUGACAGCCUGGUUGGCCGUCAUUCAUCUAGAAGAAUGAAUGAACAUCGUAUUAAGCACUCCUUGCUGUUGAAGUAGAUCUCCUCAGAGUUCUCACUAAUCAGACACAGGACUGCUUAAGGUCUGGAAAGACCAUUUCCGAAGACUGGUCAAAUGAAAAAGUGCUUUCAACCCCCGCAAACAAGAGGUGGUUCCUAUUCGUUUGGCUGAACUAAAUCACUUCUCAUAUUGAUGGGUAGCAAGCUCUGUUCCAGUCAGAACAAGAGGCAAAGAAUACUGCAGCUUUACAAAUCAGAUGCAGCCAAACAUCGGAAGGAUCAUUCUGAAAACACUAACUGGCCUCAACAGAAGGCUGGCAAGGGAUGGACAGCUCACCAUCACCACAUGGACGCCACGAUCUGGUUUCUAACACAUCUCGAGAGUCUGAAAAACUGCUUUCCUGUCGCAGCAAGAUCUUGGAUACUCAAUGUAAACAGACAGGAAACUCUAAAAUCAGCCAUGCUUCUAACAAUGAGCCUAAAACACCAAGUUAAAAAACCCAGUGCAACCCUUAGACACACCUAGAGUUAAACCCUAACAUUUUCUCUGUUUCACCUGGUAGACUCUUCCUCAGACUUUCUGUAGCAUUACACUCAUUUUCAACCAAAGAUCAGGUUAGCUGAAUUGCUUGCUGCCUUUCCCUGUCUCUUCUUGCCUAUGUUACGCCCUUACUGGAUUCAAUUCUAAGUUACCUGUUUACUUGUUUCCCACUCUAGACUGUUUAGGUGUAGAAAGAGAACAGGUUCUAUUCAUCUUUGUAACUCCAGAACCUAGGGCAGCACCUCGCAAAUCUAUUUCCUAAAUGGUGAGUCAAAGAAUGAACUAAUCGGAGCCAUUCCUGGAGCAUGCCAUGCGCUUUCAUGCCUUUGCUCAUGCCGCUUCCUUUCCUAGGAUGCCCCCGACUGCGUGCCCGCAUUAGUCCCUGACUUGUAAGACUGGAGAACCUGGAGGCUCAAGUCCUUCCUUACUCGACCUCAUACAGGACGAAAUGCCACUUCUCUGUGCUCCCUCAAGCCGUAUUCAUGUCUCGAGUGGGCCCUUCCACUUUUCACACUGGAUCAUGUGGUCAGA